Molecule: ribosomal RNA, 424 nt
Filed under: uncultured prokaryote
Description: bacterial SSU rRNA
Rfam family: Bacterial small subunit ribosomal RNA
Source: RNAcentral
UGGGGAAUAUUGGACAAUGGGCGCAAGCCUGAUCCAGCCAUGCCGCGUGAGUGAAGAAGGCCUUAGGGUUGUAAAGCUCUUUCAGUCGUGACGAUGAUGACGGUAGCGACAGAAGAAGCCCCGGCUAACUCCGUGCCAGCAGCCGCGGUAAUACGGAGGGUGCGAGCGUUAAUCGGAAUUACUGGGCGUAAAGCGCGCGUAGGCGGUUAUCUAAGCUAGAUGUGAAAGCCCUGGGCUCAACCUGGGAAUGGCAUUUAGAACUGGAUGACUGGAGUACAGCAGAGGGGUGUGGAAUUUCCGGUGUAGCGGUGAAAUGCGUAGAGAUCGGAAGGAACAUCAGUGGCGAAGGCGACACCCUGGGUUGAUACUGACGCUGAGGUGCGAAAGCGUGGGGAGCAAACAGGAUUAGAUACCCGCGUAGUCC